Long non-coding RNA from Thalassophryne amazonica, 149 nucleotides. RefSeq lists it as uncharacterized. The record is from RefSeq and is a predicted model, not a curated record. Lineage: Eukaryota; Metazoa; Chordata; Actinopteri; Batrachoidiformes; Batrachoididae. The transcript has 3 exons.
UAAUUUUGCUUCUUUUUUUUUUAAAUUAAAUGCCAAUUACUUUGAAUGUGGCCAUUCUGAGAAGCAAUAAAAACCUUUUUUCCCCCCCCAUUUCAUCAUCAGCAAAUUAAACUAGAAUGGCACUCGGCAGAUGCAUACCUUCGACAAGG